GAUGAACGCUGGCGGCGUGCCUAAUACAUGCAAGUCGAGCGAACGGACGAGAAGCUUGCUUCUCUGAUGUUAGCGGCGGACGGGUGAGUAACACGUGGAUAACCUACCUAUAAGACUGGGAUAACUUCGGGAAACCGGAGCUAAUACCGGAUAAUAUUUUGAACCGCAUGGUUCAAAAGUGAAAGACGGUCUUGCUGUCACUUAUAGAUGGAUCCGCGCUGCAUUAGCUAGUUGGUAAGGUAACGGCUUACCAAGGCAACGAUGCAUAGCCGACCUGAGAGGGUGAUCGGCCACACUGGAACUGAGACACGGUCCAGACUCCUACGGGAGGCAGCAGUAGGGAAUCUUCCGCAAUGGGCGAAAGCCUGACGGAGCAACGCCGCGUGAGUGAUGAAGGUCUUCGGAUCGUAAAACUCUGUUAUUAGGGAAGAACAUAUGUGUAAGUAACUGUGCACAUCUUGACGGUACCUAAUCAGAAAGCCACGGCUAACUACGUGCCAGCAGCCGCGGUAAUACGUAGGUGGCAAGCGUUAUCCGGAAUUAUUGGGCGUAAAGCGCGCGUAGGCGGUUUUUUAAGUCUGAUGUGAAAGCCCACGGCUCAACCGUGGAGGGUCAUUGGAAACUGGAAAACUUGAGUGCAGAAGAGGAAAGUGGAAUUCCAUGUGUAGCGGUGAAAUGCGCAGAGAUAUGGAGGAACACCAGUGGCGAAGGCGACUUUCUGGUCUGUAACUGACCCUGAUGUGCGAAAGCGUGGGGAUCAAACAGGAUUAGAUACCCUGGUAGUCCACGCCGUAAACGAUGAGUGCUAAGUGUUAGGGGGUUUCCGCCCCUUAGUGCUGCAGCUAACGCAUUAAGCACUCCGCCUGGGGAGUACGACCGCAAGGUUGAAACUCAAAGGAAUUGACGGGGACCCGCACAAGCGGUGGAGCAUGUGGUUUAAUUCGAAGCAACGCGAAGAACCUUACCAAAUCUUGACAUCCUUUGACAACUCUAGAGAUAGAGCCUUCCCCUUCGGGGGACAAAGUGACAGGUGGUGCAUGGUUGUCGUCAGCUCGUGUCGUGAGAUGUUGGGUUAAGUCCCGCAACGAGCGCAACCCUUAAGCUUAGUUGCCAUCAUUAAGUUGGGCACUCUAAGUUGACUGCCGGUGACAAACCGGAGGAAGGUGGGGAUGACGUCAAAUCAUCAUGCCCCUUAUGAUUUGGGCUACACACGUGCUACAAUGGACAAUACAAAGGGCAGCGAAACCGCGAGGUCAAGCAAAUCCCAUAAAGUUGUUCUCAGUUCGGAUUGUAGUCUGCAACUCGACUACAUGAAGCUGGAAUCGCUAGUAAUCGUAGAUCAGCAUGCUACGGUGAAUACGUUCCCGGGUCU
This 1372-nucleotide ribosomal RNA is filed under the name uncultured bacterium. RNAcentral's name for it is "bacterial SSU rRNA". It matches the Rfam family "Bacterial small subunit ribosomal RNA", at positions 28 to 1381 of the family's 1533-position model. The record is from RNAcentral.